RNAcentral lists this long non-coding RNA (245 nucleotides) under Mytilus galloprovincialis (Mediterranean mussel). The record is from RNAcentral. Lineage: Eukaryota; Metazoa; Mollusca; Bivalvia; Mytilida; Mytilidae.
GCCGUUGAAAAUAGUCUGAACUAUUACUCGACCAGUCUGAAACAGUCUUAACCCAUUCUUGAUCUGUACUCGACCUAUUUUGCCGGUCUAAACCAUACUUAAACAAAGGUCUGAACAAUACUCGACCAGUCUGAACCAUACUAGACCAAAUAAGCUCUACUUUUUUAACUGUUAAAAUAAAUUUCUUUUUAACUGACAUAUAUAACAACAGCCAACAAAAUUUAUAAAUUGUUUAACCUUAUAUU